GCAAUGGCUCAAAGGGUCAGUGCAUCUGGCUGUUAACCAGAAAGUUGGUGGUUUGAGCCCACCAAGGGACA
Molecule: non-coding RNA, 71 nt
Organism: Podarcis lilfordi (Lilford's wall lizard)
Lineage: Eukaryota; Metazoa; Chordata; Lepidosauria; Squamata; Lacertidae
Source: the annotation of a GenBank genome assembly